This 438-nucleotide long non-coding RNA is filed under the name Heterocephalus glaber (naked mole-rat). RNAcentral describes it as "lncRNA (ENSHGLG00000043764.1)". Lineage: Eukaryota; Metazoa; Chordata; Mammalia; Rodentia; Bathyergidae. The record is from RNAcentral.
GCCUGGUUUUCAAAAUUUGAGGAGAUGGAGAGAUUAAGCUGGAAAUUUGCAGAAGGAAGUUGAUCAUGAUUCUCAGCAUGUUCUGACAGUUCCACCUAUCUCAAAUUUUUCUGAAAGUAUAAAUAGGAAUUCUGGAUUUGCUGGAUAAUCUACGGGCCUGAUGUCAUUGCUGCAGGAUGUCCAUCAAAUCCGGAAGUCCUGGUGAGGAUGUCUUCAAUGUGUCAAAAAAUUUGUUUCCUGUAUUUUCUAGUUUUAUGCGGCCCUUUGUUUGCAGCUGGACAAGACAGCAUAGCACGUCACAAAGAGGGACAGAUGACAUGAAGUCCAUAGGACGUGGCCAAGACAGGGAAGCUGCAGAUGGAACAGAUGAAGGAAACAGUUCUGGAGUUUCAGGGUGGCAGCUUUGACCAGAAUCGAGCUUCAGCUGGUAGCUGGGAG